GCCCUAGUAGCUUAAAUAAAAGCGCCGGUUUUGUAAUCCGGAGACCGGAGGUUAGAAUCCCCCCUAAGGCC
This 71-nucleotide transfer RNA is filed under the name Ilisha sirishai (lobejaw ilisha). RNAcentral's name for it is "tRNA-Thr". It matches the Rfam family "tRNA". Rfam says of the family: Transfer RNA (tRNA) molecules are approximately 80 nucleotides in length. Their secondary structure includes four short double-helical elements and three loops (D, anti-codon, and T loops). The record is from RNAcentral. Lineage: Eukaryota; Metazoa; Chordata; Actinopteri; Clupeiformes; Pristigasteridae.